Molecule: ribosomal RNA, 460 nt
Filed under: uncultured bacterium
Lineage: Bacteria
Description: partial 16S ribosomal RNA
Rfam family: Bacterial small subunit ribosomal RNA
Source: RNAcentral
CCUACGGGCGGCAGCAGUGAGGAAUAUUGGUCAAUGGACGAGAGUCUGAACCAGCCAAGUAGCGUGAAGGAUGACUGCCCUAUGGGUUGUAAACUUCUUUUAUAUGGGAAUAAAAUGUUCCACGUGUGGGAUUUUGUAUGUACCAUAUGAAUAAGGAUCGGCUAACUCCGUGCCAGCAGCCGCGGUAAUACGGAGGAUCCGAGCGUUAUCCGGAUUUAUUGGGUUUAAAGGGAGCGUAGGUGGAUUGUUAAGUCAGUUGUGAAAGUUUGCGGCUCAACCGUAAAAUUGCAGUUGAAACUGGCAGUCUUGAGUACAGUAGAGGUGGGCGGAAUUCGUGGUGUAGCGGUGAAAUGCUUAGAUAUCACGAAGAACUCCGAUUGCGAAGGCAGUUCACUGGACUGCAACUGACACUGAGGCUCGAAAGUGUGGGUAUCAAACAGGAUUAGAGACCCUAGUAGUC